Long non-coding RNA from Aquila chrysaetos chrysaetos, 168 nucleotides. RefSeq lists it as uncharacterized. Lineage: Eukaryota; Metazoa; Chordata; Aves; Accipitriformes; Accipitridae. The record is from RefSeq and is a predicted model, not a curated record. The transcript has 2 exons.
GCCUGGUCACAUAGCUGCUUAUUCUUGGAGGAGUGUAGUGGAAACAUAGCAGCAGUGCUGCUUGAAAAAGAAGACAGAAUGUGGGAGAAUUGAAUUAUAUCAUCAGAAACUGAAAAUUCCUGUAAUGCUAUGAAGUACUUCCUAGAAAUAAAGCUAUGAAGAAGUGUG